GACGAACGCUGGCGGCGUGCCUAAUACAUGCAAGUUGAGCGCUGAAGGUUGGUACUUGUACCAACUGGAUGAGCAGCGCACGGGUGAGUAACGCGUGGGGAAUCUGCCUUUGAGCGGGGGACAACAUUUGGAAACGAAUGCUAAUACCGCAUAAAAACUUUAAACACAAGUUUUAAGUUUGAAAGAUGCAAUUGCAUCACUCAAAGAUGAUCCCGCGUUGUAUUAGCUAGUUGGUGAGGUAAAGGCUCACCAAGGCGAUGAUACAUAGCCGACCUGAGAGGGUGAUCAGCCACAUUGGGACGGAGACACGGCCCAAACGCCUACGGGAGGCAGCAGUAGGGAAUCUUCGGCAAUGGACGAAAGACUGACCGAGCAACGCCGCGUGAGUGAAGAAGGUUUUCGGAUCGUAAAACUCUGUUGGUAGAGAAGAACGUUGGUGAGAGUGGAAAGCUCAUCAAGUGACGGUAACUACCCAGAAAGGGACGGCUAACUACGUG
RNAcentral lists this ribosomal RNA (497 nucleotides) under uncultured bacterium. RNAcentral's name for it is "partial 16S ribosomal RNA". It matches the Rfam family "Bacterial small subunit ribosomal RNA", at positions 28 to 507 of the family's 1533-position model. The record is from RNAcentral.